GAGGGUAUAGCUCAGUAGCAGAGUGCUUACCUAGCAUGCAUGAGGUCCUGGGUUCAAUCCCCAGUAUCUCCA
This 72-nucleotide transfer RNA is filed under the name Camelus bactrianus (Bactrian camel). It matches the Rfam family "tRNA". Rfam says of the family: Transfer RNA (tRNA) molecules are approximately 80 nucleotides in length. Their secondary structure includes four short double-helical elements and three loops (D, anti-codon, and T loops). RNAcentral also lists the same sequence under 2 other names. Lineage: Eukaryota; Metazoa; Chordata; Mammalia; Artiodactyla; Camelidae. The record is from Rfam by way of RNAcentral.